RNAcentral lists this long non-coding RNA (3831 nucleotides) under Pan troglodytes (chimpanzee). RNAcentral describes it as "long non-coding RNA NONPTRT013425". The record is from RNAcentral. Lineage: Eukaryota; Metazoa; Chordata; Mammalia; Primates; Hominidae.
CUCUCUUCUCUACCACCGUGUAAGAUAUGCAUUUUGCCUUCUGCCAUGACUGUGAGGCCUCCCCAGCCUUGGGGAACUGUGAGUCUGUUAAACUUCUUUUUCUUUCUUUCUUUUUUUUUUUUGUUUUUUGAGAGGCGGAGUUUAGAUCUUGUCACCCAAGCUGGAGUGCAGUGGCACGAUCUCGGCUCACUGCAGCCUCUGCUUCCUGGGUUCAAGCGAUUCUCCUGCCUCAGCCUCUGGAGCAGCUGGGAUUACAGGCGUGCCACUGUGCCUGGCUAAUUUUUGUAUUUUUAGUAGAGAUGGGGUUUCACCAUAUUGGCCAGGCUAGUCUUGAACUCCUGACCUCAGGUGAUCCACUCGCCUCAGCCUCCCAAAGUGCUGGGAUUACAGGUGUGAGCUACUGUGCUGGCAUCACUUUUUCUUCAUAAAUUACCUAGUCUUGGGCAUGUCUUUAUCAGUAGCAUGAAAACGGAUGAAUACACAGCUUUUUCUCACUUUCCUAUAUCUGUCAUAUUUCAGAGGGGAUAGUUUAUACUCUAUGUGUUGAAUAAAGAACCUAUAUAUUUCUGGUCAUUUGUAAGUAAAAGUCAGUGUUAAUUUAAAUGAAAAUAUAAAGAUUUCUUCAUUUUUAAACAUUCUAUUGUGCUAUGUGAUAUAUGUAAAGAAAAAUCCAUAAAGCUUAUAUGCAGUUAUAUGUUUUAACAAUAUUUCUCUGUGAACCCACAGAGAACUUCAUUUUCUAGUUAUUAUGGUCCUUACCAGAAGGUGUCAAGAAAGAGAAAUUUAUUUCUUCAAUAAAAAACGAUAUCAACACUCCCCGCCCCCAACAAAAGAAAGCAAACACACUUAAAGAAUUUCCAGUUGCACUUAGGAUGCUGAAGACUCUCAACCUAUAAUUGAGAACAACCUAAAAAAUUGACAAAAUCAUAUAUUUUUGGGACCCAUCAGAGAACAGAGUUUGCAAGAUAUACAGAUGAACUGAAUUCCAAAUGAUGAUAAGCCCCUACAAGGAGGGGUGGGACACAAAAAUCAUUCUGCCUUUGGAAUAGCAAGGCAGGGUCAGUAAAAGCCAUAAAAGCAGGUGAGAAGAAAGUAAGUGACAUUGUAAGGAAUCAUAAGUGUAGGCUAGUGUGACAAUUUAGAAGCCUGAGACCCCAGGCACAAGGGCACUGGUUCCACCCACCAGCUUUUGCCACAGGCCUCCACCUAGUAUUUAUGAGAAGGACUGGUGGGGGGUUGUGGGGAGAGCAAAAGAUUCAAGAGAGAUCUCCCUCUCCCUUAGUGAGCAGAGCCACUAAAACCUAUCCCUUUCCUGAACAAGCACUUUUCUCAUCUAAGCAAAAGUCACCUGCACUGCAAGAACACCCUGGAAAUCUCUGUUGCAGGCAGAUGUCACCUGUGGCCAGGGGAGGAGUAGAAGCAAAAAUCAUCUGCUUAUGAGAAGUGGCAGAGCACCUGUUGUACCUAAUUCUGCAGUGAUGCUAAACAAAGAGCUGCUGCCAGAGGAGAAAUGGGAAACAUGUCUACCCAAGACCUUUUCUCACUAUGUAAGACAGAUUUUAGGUGCCAUGGAAUGAGUGAGAAAGCUCCAUCCAUGAGACUAAUUACUCAUGGCCUGCUUGUGUCUGAAUCUGGAGCAUAAGAACCUAAAAACUCCACCUUUUAACACCAAGAAUCUGCACUAAUAACAAAUGAUAGUAAUUUGCUAGGGGAAAGGCAAAAGUAUGGAGAGAGACUUCUGUGUGGAAUGUCUGUGCAGGACCUGCCGAAAGCAGAGAAACAAAUAUUUAGAAAAAAUCUUCAGAUAAUCCAGGCAUCACACUAAGUACAAGGUAGCAGCAGCUCACAACUGGAGAAAUUUUCAGUUUUCAAUGCACUAAAGGUAAGUAUAACAACAAAAAAUCCAAAACACAUCCUAACUCCUGAAUAGAUGGACUUAUUCCCCUAUGGCGAGAGUUAAGAAAAGCAGAGGAAUGACCACAUUUGAGUGUAUAUACAAUUUACCUCAAUAUCUAAAUAAUCACCACUUAAUUUAAAAGUUAUGGCUCUCUAAAAAGCAAAAAAAAAGUACUAUUUUCAAGAGCUAAAACAAUCAACUGAACUAGACUUAGAGAUAGUCUAGAUAGGCACAUUAAAAUACCUAUACCUAAUACGUCAAUGGCUCUAUUUGGCAAGUUGGGCAUCAUGCAGCAAUACAUGGAAAACUUAAGCAAGAAGAUGGAAAUUAUAAACAAAAGCUUUUUAAAAAAUCCUACACUAUCACAGAUAAAGAAUUCUUUUCAUGAGAUUAUCAUUACACUUUACAUAACUGAUUCCAGAAGGGCUAAGCUUAAAGAUGGGUCAAUAGAAAUGGGUCAAUCAUUUCAUGGUUAAUAGAAAUGGUUAGUCAUUUCAUGAAAUAAUCUUACAUCAAACACAAAGUGAAAACUGAAUGAAAAAAAAAUACAACAGAGCACCUAUGAGCUGUGGAACACUGUUAAAUUGAUUAACUCAUAUUUACUUGUUGUUCCACCAGGAGAAAGGUACAAAAAUGGAAAAAGAAUAUUUUGAGCAAAGGCUAAGUACAAAGAAAAACAGACCUGAGCACACAAGAGUCAAACUAAAAUCAACAACAACAACAAAAAACAAAUAUGGAGAAAAAAGUCUUGAAGGUAGCCGGGGAAGAAGAAAACAUUACAUGCAGGACAAUAAGAACUAAAAUGAAAGCAGGUUUCUUGUCAGAAACACAGCUAUGUAAACCAGAAAACAAUGGAGUGAUAUCUUUAAAGUUCUGUAGGAAUAAAGAUGAAAUACUCUCACUCUAGAAAUUUAUACCCAGAAGAAAUACAAAAUGCCAACACCACAGAAGUUAUCACCUCCCUUCCCAGACCACAUCACCUUUCCCUGCUAAGGUAACCACAAUACUAACAUUUAUGAAAAUAUACUCUUAAUUUUCUUCAUAGUUGUGCACCUAUGCAUUCACCUAAAGUUUAAAUCUAAUCAUUCUAUUCUUGUUAUAUAUUUUUGCUCAAUAUUAUGUUUAUAGGAAUCAUUGGCAUCAUAAUGUGCAACUCUAUCGAUCUUCAUUUUAAUCUCCGUGUACCUUUCCAUGACAUUAUAAUUUCUCACAAUUUAUUAUACAUUCUUAAAUUAAGGGAGAUCUCUUCUGUGGUUUCUCUAGCUAGGCCUCUGUGACAACUCUUUCUUGAUUCACCACUUAUUUUUCUGAUGACUAUGGCUGAGAAAUUUGGUUACAUGAAGACAUUCUCAAAAUUAUCAUCUAGGACCAGCCAUUUUCUGGAGCAAGACAUGAAGUCAUUUUUACUUGGGCCCAGCAUUGUUUAACAUACAGAUAGGAAAGUACAUCUGGUACAAGUGUUAUUCAACACAGGAAAAGCGGGUUAUGUUAAUGUGAGUUCUCAGACGCUAGACAUUUUAAGAUAAACUGUUAUUUACAAUUAAAACUCAAUGCAUUUGUGUCAGGUUUAUUUUGCCUGGUAACAAAAUGCAGGUACUCAGUAACGUUUUUAUUAAUAAUGUUAACCAUUUUAUAUUAAACACACUUUCUUAUCUGAAAAAAUAAGAACUCAGAUGAAAGAUAAUAAUGAAACGCUUAGUAUUAUAUAGUGAGUGCUUGGGCAUUUUAACUUCACAGCUGACUGAAAAUAUCAGUAUGGAAAAGGUACAAUAUGCUACAGAUACGGCUUUUAAUUUUGAGCAAGGAUGUGACAAAUUGCAUGAACAGCUAUGCCUUGUAUUUUGGAAGAUCAUCUAUUACAUAACAUCAAUAAUUUUGACACCUUGAACAUCAGCUUUUCUUCUGAAAUUGGAAGCAUGUUUAAAGAUUUCUAA